GCGGACGUGGCGGAACUGGUAGACGCAAGGGACUUAAAAUCCCUCGGGCUUGCCCGUCCGGGUUCGAUCCCCGGCGUCCGCA
RNAcentral lists this transfer RNA (82 nucleotides) under Mesorhizobium alhagi CCNWXJ12-2. It matches the Rfam family "tRNA". From Rfam's summary of the family: Transfer RNA (tRNA) molecules are approximately 80 nucleotides in length. Their secondary structure includes four short double-helical elements and three loops (D, anti-codon, and T loops). Further hydrogen bonds mediate the characteristic L-shaped molecular structure. tRNAs have two regions of fundamental functional importance: the anti-codon, which is responsible for specific mRNA codon recognition, and the 3' end, to which the tRNAs corresponding amino acid is attached (by aminoacyl-tRNA synthetases). tRNAs cope with the degeneracy of the genetic code in two manners: having more than one tRNA (with a specific anti-codon) for a particular amino acid; and 'wobble' base-pairing, i.e. permitting non-standard base-pairing at the 3rd anti-codon position. Lineage: Bacteria; Pseudomonadati; Pseudomonadota; Alphaproteobacteria; Hyphomicrobiales; Phyllobacteriaceae. The record is from Rfam by way of RNAcentral.